GCAUCCUACGGGGCGCAGCAGUAGGGAAUCUUCCACAAUGGACGAAAGUCUGAUGGAGCAACGCCGCGUGAGUGAAGAAGGGUUUCGGCUCGUAAAGCUCUGUUGGGAGUGAAGAAAGAUAGAGGUAGUAACUGGCCUUUAUUUGACGGUAAUUACUUAGAAAGUCACGGCUAACUACGUGCCAGCAGCCGCGGUAAUACGUAGGUGGCAAGCGUUGUUCGGAUUUAUUGGGCGUAAAGCGUCCG
Molecule: ribosomal RNA, 245 nt
Filed under: uncultured bacterium
Lineage: Bacteria
Description: partial 16S ribosomal RNA
Rfam family: Bacterial small subunit ribosomal RNA
Source: RNAcentral